RNAcentral lists this long non-coding RNA (848 nucleotides) under Parus major (Great Tit). RNAcentral's name for it is "lncRNA (ENSPMJG00000013897.1)". Lineage: Eukaryota; Metazoa; Chordata; Aves; Passeriformes; Paridae. The record is from RNAcentral.
CUCCAGAGAGCCCAGGGCUGAUUUUUGGGAUACAGCAUCUCCAGAGCAGAGCCUGCAGUGGGUGCUGCAGAGGACUGGCCGUGGUUCUCAGCACUGUUUUCCCUCAUAGAUGAGAACAGUAUCUGAAAGCAGAUACAAAAUCACUUAAAAAUAACCUUAAAUACUGUGUUGACAUGCAGUUACCUUACAGCCAACACUCAGUUCCCAGCACAAACCCUUCCUCACAGGGCUGAGAACAUUUUAGAGAUGUUUCCCUUUGAUGGGGAAGGAAAUGCUGGGGGAAGAUGAAAUCAGAAAAAAAAGCCAGGCUGGGGCAGGGCUUAGUGUCCCACUUUUUGUUGUAUUCCAGGAAAAAUUGUCCUCAUCCAGGUGUUCUCCAACACCAGUUUUCCUCUGUCACUUCCUGAGGGAGCCUUGGGAACCUGGGCUCAGUGGCUGACCUGUGUUCAGGGGAAGAGAUCUCAUGGCAGGGAGGGUUUUUCCACAAGCGUUUGGCAUUGCUUUUCCUGGCGGUGCUGUGACAGCCUUUGGGAUCAGAUUGUGGAUUUCCUGCCCCACCUGCUGCUCUCAAGGCACUCAAUAAGGAUUUAUUAUCCCAGCAAAGCCCUGGGAGGAUCUGCAGAACACGGAGUGUCAUCCACAAGCCCCCCACCUCCUCCCAACACUGCUCCUGCACGAGUGCCCGGAUGGAUUCAAACUCCAGCAAAUUUAGAUUUUAAAAGAUGACAUCACAUCCACUCCUGAACAUGUCUCACGGUGUUUUUACAGACAUGAUGUAACAGACAAUUUUCUCAUAUCUCUCUAUCACUGACUCAGUUUUUGAAUAAAAGCUCUAAUUUUAACCUGCA